RNAcentral lists this unclassified non-coding RNA (520 nucleotides) under uncultured Entrophospora. RNAcentral's name for it is "SSU rRNA". It matches the Rfam family "Eukaryotic small subunit ribosomal RNA", at positions 569 to 1081 of the family's 1831-position model. Lineage: Eukaryota; Fungi; Glomeromycota; Glomeromycetes; Entrophosporales; Entrophosporaceae. The record is from RNAcentral.
AGCAGCCGCGGUAAUUCCAGCUCCAAUAGCGUAUAUUAAAGUUGUUGCAGUUAAAAAGCUCGUAGUUGAAUUUCGGGAUUGACACAUCGGUCGUGCCUUAAGGGGUAUGAACUGGUGUAGUCAAUUUCUCACCUUCUGGAGAACCGCGAUGCCCUUAAUUGGGUGUCGCGGGGAACCAGGACCUUUACUUUGAAAAAAUUUAGAGUGUUUAAAGCAGGCAUUUUGCUUGAAUACAUUAGCAUGGAAUAAUAAAAUAGGACGGCAUGAUUCUAUUUUGUUGGUUUCUAGGAUCACCGUAAUGAUUAAUAGGGAUAGUUGGGGGGCAUUAGUAUUCAAUUGUCAGAGGUGAAAUUCUUGGAUUUAUUGAAGACUAACUACUGCGAAAGCAUUUGCCAAGGAUGUUUUCAUUAAUCAAGAACGAAAGUUAGGGGAUCGAAGACGAUCAGAUACCGUCGUAGUCUUAACCAUAAACUAUGCCGACUAGGAAUCAGACGAUGUUAAUUUUUUUAAUGACUCGUUU